GACGAACGCUGGCGGCGUGCUUAACACAUGCAAGUCGAGCGGUAAGGCCCCUUCGGGGGUACACGAGCGGCGAACGGGUGAGUAACACGUGAGCAACCUACCCUUCACUUCGGGAUAAGCCUCGGAAACGGGGUCUAAUACCGGAUAUCACUCACUACUUCAUGGUGGUGGGUUGAAAGUUCUGGCGGUGGGGGAUGGGCUCGCGGCCUAUCAGCUUGUUGGUGGGGUAAUGGCCUACCAAGGCGCGACGGGUAGCCGGCCUGAGAGGGCGACCGGCCACACUGGGACUGAGACACGGCCCAGACUCCUACGGGAGGCAGCAGUGGGGAAUAUUGCGCAAUGGACGAAAGUCUGACGCAGCAACGCCGCGUGA
RNAcentral lists this ribosomal RNA (373 nucleotides) under uncultured bacterium. RNAcentral describes it as "bacterial SSU rRNA". It matches the Rfam family "Bacterial small subunit ribosomal RNA", at positions 28 to 404 of the family's 1533-position model. The record is from RNAcentral.